This 253-nucleotide ribosomal RNA is filed under the name uncultured bacterium. RNAcentral describes it as "partial 16S ribosomal RNA". It matches the Rfam family "Bacterial small subunit ribosomal RNA", at positions 524 to 776 of the family's 1533-position model. The record is from RNAcentral.
UACGUAGGGUGCAAGCGUUAAUCGGAAUCAUUGGGCGUAAAGCGCGUGUAGGUGGCUUGGCAAGUCGGUUGUGAAAUCCCGGGGCCCAACCCCGGAACUGCAUUCGAAACUGCCUCGCUAGAGUCCCGGAGAGGAAGGCGGAAUUCCCGGUGUAGAGGUGAAAUUCGUAGAUAUCGGGAGGAACACCAGCGGCGAAGGCGGCCUUCUGGACGGUGACUGACACUGAGGCGCGAAAGCGUGGGGAGCAAACAGG